UACGUAGGGUGCGAGCGUUAAUCGGAAUUACUGGGCGUAAAGCGUGCGUAGGCGGUUCGUUAAGUCAGCUGUGAGAGCCCCGGGCUCAACCUGGGAAUUGCGGUUGAAACUGGCGAACUAGAAUCUGGCAGAGGGGGGUGGAAUUCCACGUGUAGCAGUGAAAUGCGUAGAGAUGUGGAGGAACACCGAUGGCGAAGGCAGCCCCCUGGGCUGAGAUUGACGCUCAGGCACGAAAGCGUGGGGAGCAAACAGG
This 253-nucleotide ribosomal RNA is filed under the name uncultured bacterium. RNAcentral describes it as "partial 16S ribosomal RNA". It matches the Rfam family "Bacterial small subunit ribosomal RNA", at positions 524 to 776 of the family's 1533-position model. The record is from RNAcentral.